Molecule: ribosomal RNA, 374 nt
Filed under: Nematoda sp.
Lineage: Eukaryota; Metazoa; Nematoda
Description: SSU rRNA
Rfam family: Eukaryotic small subunit ribosomal RNA
Source: RNAcentral
CUGAAUAACUACGCUGAUCGCACGGUCUCGAACCGGCGACGUAUCCUUCAAGUGUCUGCCUUAUCAACUGUCGAUGGUAGUUUAUGUGCCUACCAUGGUUGUAACGGGUAACGGAGAAUAAGGGUUCGACUCCGGAGAGGGAGCCUGAGAAACGGCUACCACAUCCAAGGAAGGCAGCAGGCGCGCAAAUUACCCACUCUCAGCACGAGGAGGUAGUGACGAAAAAUAACGAGACGGAUCUCUAUGAGGCCCGUUAUCGGAAUGAGAACAAUCCAAAUCCUUUAACGAGGAUCUAGCGGAGGGCAAGUCUGGUGCCAGCAGCCGCGGUAAUUCCAGCUCCGCAGGUGUAUAUCUAUGCUGCUGUGGUUAAAAAG